GCGCGCGUAGCUCAGCGGCAGAGCAUCGCGUUCACAUCGCGAGGGUCCAUGGUUCAAAUCCAUGCGCGCGCA
Molecule: transfer RNA, 72 nt
Filed under: Candidatus Roizmanbacteria bacterium
Lineage: Bacteria; Candidatus Roizmaniibacteriota
Description: tRNA-Val
Rfam family: tRNA
About the family: Transfer RNA (tRNA) molecules are approximately 80 nucleotides in length. Their secondary structure includes four short double-helical elements and three loops (D, anti-codon, and T loops).
Source: RNAcentral